Molecule: non-coding RNA, 24 nt
Filed under: Cricetulus griseus (Chinese hamster)
Lineage: Eukaryota; Metazoa; Chordata; Mammalia; Rodentia; Cricetidae
Source: RNAcentral
GGGCUAGUGAGCAGGUAAGAACGG